Nannospalax galili (Upper Galilee mountains blind mole rat) is the source of this 107-nucleotide small nuclear RNA. The record is from Ensembl. Lineage: Eukaryota; Metazoa; Chordata; Mammalia; Rodentia; Spalacidae.
GCACUCAGUUCCCCAGCAUGCAUACUAAAAUAUGGAGCGAUACAGAGAAGAUUAGUAUGGCCCCUGUACAAGGAUCCCAUGCAAAUCGAGAAGUGUCCUGUAUUUUU